UACGGGGGGCAGCAGUGGGGAAUAUUGCACAAUGGGCGCAAGCCUGAUGCAGCCAUGCCGCGUGUAUGAAGAAGGCCCUAGGGUUGUAAAGUACUUUCAGUCGGGAGGAAGGCGUUGAUGCUAAUAUCAUCAACGAUUGACGUUACCGACAGAAGAAGCACCGGCUAACUCCGUGCCAGCAGCCGCGGUAAUACGGAGGGUGCAAGCGUUAAUCGGAAUUACUGGGCGUAAAGCGCACGCAGGCGGUUGAUUAAGUUAGAUGUGAAAUCCCCGGGCUUAACCUGGGAAUGGCAUCUAAGACUGGUCAGCUAGAGUCUUGUAGAGGGGGGUAGAAUUCCAUGUGUAGCGGUGAAAUGCGUAGAGAUGUGGAGGAAUACCGGUGGCGAAGGCGGCCCCCUGGACAAA
This 405-nucleotide ribosomal RNA is filed under the name Providencia rettgeri. RNAcentral describes it as "bacterial SSU rRNA". It matches the Rfam family "Bacterial small subunit ribosomal RNA", at positions 340 to 737 of the family's 1533-position model. RNAcentral also lists the same sequence under 1 other name. Lineage: Bacteria; Pseudomonadati; Pseudomonadota; Gammaproteobacteria; Enterobacterales; Morganellaceae. The record is from RNAcentral.